RNAcentral lists this ribosomal RNA (253 nucleotides) under uncultured bacterium. RNAcentral describes it as "partial 16S ribosomal RNA". It matches the Rfam family "Bacterial small subunit ribosomal RNA", at positions 524 to 776 of the family's 1533-position model. The record is from RNAcentral.
UACGGAGGGUGCGAGCGUUGUUCGGAAUCACUGGGCGUAAAGCGCGUGUAGGCGGCUUCGUAAGUCUGGUGUGAAAGCCCGGGGCUCACCCCCGGAAGUGCACUGGAAACUGCGAGACUUGAGUACCGGAGAGGAAAGUGGAAUUCCUGGUGUAGCGGUGAAAUGCGUAGAUAUCAGGAGGAACACCGGUGGCGAAGGCGGCUUUCUGGACGGAUACUGACGCUGAGACGCGAAAGCGUGGGGAGCAAACAGG